UAGGGAAUCUUCCACAAUGGACGCAAGUCUGAUGGAGCAACGCCGCGUGAGUGAAGAAGGUCUUCGGAUCGUAAAGCUCUGUUGUUGGUGAAGAAGGAUAGAGGCAGUAACUGGUCUUUAUUUGACGGUAAUCAACCAGAAAGUCACGGCUAACUACGUGCCAGCAGCCGCGGUAAUACGUAGGUGGCAAGCGUUGUCCGGAUUUAUUGGGCGUAAAGCGAGCGCAGGCGGAAUGAUAAGUCUGAUGUGAAGGCCCACGGCUCAACCGUGGAACUGCAUCGGAAACUGUCAUUCUUGAGUGCAGAAGAGGAGAGUGGAACUCCAUGUGUAGCGGUGGAAUGCGUAGAUAUAUGGAAGAACACCAGUGGCGAAGGCGGCUCUCUGGUCUGCAACUGACGCUGAGGCUCGAAAGCAUGGGUAGCGAACAGGAUUAGAUACCCUGGUAGUCCAUGCCGUAAACGAUGAGCGCUAGGUGUUGGGGACUUUCCGGUCCUCAGUGCCGCAGCAAACGCAUUAAGCGCUCCGCCUGGGGAGUACGACCGCAAGGUUGAAAC
RNAcentral lists this ribosomal RNA (554 nucleotides) under uncultured bacterium. RNAcentral describes it as "partial 16S ribosomal RNA". It matches the Rfam family "Bacterial small subunit ribosomal RNA", at positions 355 to 900 of the family's 1533-position model. The record is from RNAcentral.